GGAAAUAGCUCAGUGGUAAAGCACAUGCUUAGCAUGCAUGAGGUCCUGGGUUCAAUCCCCAGUACCUCCA
This 70-nucleotide transfer RNA is filed under the name Camelus bactrianus (Bactrian camel). It matches the Rfam family "tRNA". From Rfam's summary of the family: Transfer RNA (tRNA) molecules are approximately 80 nucleotides in length. RNAcentral also lists the same sequence under 2 other names. Lineage: Eukaryota; Metazoa; Chordata; Mammalia; Artiodactyla; Camelidae. The record is from Rfam by way of RNAcentral.